UACGAAGGGUGCAAACGUUGCUCGGAAUUAUUGGGCGUAAAGCGCACGUAGGCGGCUCUGCAAGUCGGAUGUGAAAUCCCUCAGCUCAACCAAGGAAGUGCAUCCGAAACUGCGGAGCUUGAGUACUUAAGAGGAUCGCGGAAUUCCCGGUGUAGAGGUGAAAUUCGUAGAUAUCGGGAGGAACACCAGUGGCGAAGGCGGCGAUCUGGGAAGAUACUGACGCUGAGGUGCGAAAGCGUGUGGAGCAAACAGG
RNAcentral lists this ribosomal RNA (253 nucleotides) under uncultured bacterium. Its description in RNAcentral is "partial 16S ribosomal RNA". It matches the Rfam family "Bacterial small subunit ribosomal RNA", at positions 524 to 776 of the family's 1533-position model. The record is from RNAcentral.